AAACACAAAACACAAAACACAAAACACAAAACACAAAACACAAAACACAAAACACAAAACACAAAACACAAAACACAAAACACAAAACACAAAACACGAAACGAAACGAAACAAAACAAAACAAAACAAAACAAAACAAAACAAAACAAAACAAAACAAAACAAAACAAAACCCAAAACAAAACCCAAAACAAAACAAAACAAAACACAAAACAAAACAAAACAAAACAAAACACAAAACAAAACAAAACACAAAACAAAACAAAACCCAAAACAAAACAAAACAAAACACAAAACAAAACAAAACAAAACAAAACACAAAACAAAACAAAACACAAAACAAAACAAAACACAAAACAACAUUACAAGCCACAUGACAUAUCAACAAAAUAACACAAUUAAAACAUCAUCACAACAGCCAAAAGGGCCGAAUUUGAAAAUAUUGACGGACAAGAGUACUAACACAACUUAAAGGACAAAGAAGACAACACCAAUGAAGGCGAUCCCCGUGCUCAGAGAGAUAGAUACCCGCAACACAUCUCAAAAGAC
Molecule: non-coding RNA, 548 nt
Organism: Paramuricea clavata
Lineage: Eukaryota; Metazoa; Cnidaria; Anthozoa; Malacalcyonacea; Plexauridae
Source: the annotation of a GenBank genome assembly